CCAAGUGCAGUGGUGUUUACAACUAAUCAAUAACAGCCAGUUAAAGAUUUCUUUGUUCCUACUCCAUUCCCAUUGCUUCACUUG
Molecule: unclassified non-coding RNA, 84 nt
Organism: Otolemur garnettii (small-eared galago)
Lineage: Eukaryota; Metazoa; Chordata; Mammalia; Primates; Galagidae
Rfam family: Y RNA
About the family: Y RNAs are components of the Ro ribonucleoprotein particle (Ro RNP), in association with Ro60 and La proteins. The Y RNAs and Ro60 and La proteins are well conserved, but the function of the Ro RNP is not known.
Source: Ensembl